CUCCUGUCUGUUUGCUAAUAAACACUAUCUAAAUAAAACAAGAUGCAUCAUUACAAACAUUUAUCUUAACUAACAAUCUUCACACAUUAAACUUCCUCUUCUUCUUCUUCUCAGGAGGUGAAACACGUCAUUGUCACAAAUACACUGUGGGCAUGGACACAGUGUGAACUUGAGACUCAGUAUGAGUCUUAAUAUAGUUUGUUUGUUACAGCGUUAGAUUGGCUCAGUGAAUGGAAAAAAAAUAUUUGGUUACCUUGUAAUAAGUAAAGUGUCUUAUUAACACUUAUUCCAGUUUAACUGGAUCUUUGUCAGGCUGCUGUGACCUCUGACCUUUGACAUCUUUACUUAUGUGAACAUUUAAUUUUUGGCUGCCAAAAGUCACUAUAAGGAAGUGACAUCAUACUAACCACAGGAAGUAGAUGGAGCGUCUCUCUACUGAAGCACUACUUUAUAAACUCACACAGUUAUGAGCAUGAGAACAAGAGAUAGAAGAAGGAGAGAGAGACAGAGAAUCACGAUGGUUGAGUUCAAAUGGAUUCAAAUGUCUUUAUUUCUUAUAGCGCUGCUUCACUUUACAGCAGCAGCUGAAAAACUCCUCUCUGUCAGAGUUGGAGAUGACGUCACUUUGCCUUGUGAUAAUGUGAUUGAUGGUCAGCAAAGAUGUGAAUAUACUACAUGGCUGUUCAGUGCUUCAGGAAACACAGCAGCAGUAGCGCUGUUUGAACAUGGACAGAUCAAAAACACCAACUCUAAAUCAGACAGACAGAGUGUUACAGAGAACUGUUCUCUGGUUAUAAAGAAGGUCACAGUCGAGGAUGUUGGUCGUUACACCUGCAGACAGUUUAUAUCAGGACAACAACAAGGUCCAGACUCUCAGGUUGAUCUGUCUGUUAUUACCAGUGAGGACACAAUAACAACAACAACUGAAAACAGCAUACUAACGGGUACCCACACGACAGCGUCUACAAUCAAUGAUACUUCAACAGAAUUAAAAGGUAUUAACUCAAUUGCAAAACAUCUCAAUGUAACACAGACCAUCUGUGGUACAGUGAGAACAUGGCUUCCUGCCGUCUGGUGCUGUAUUUUUGGACCCAGCAGCCUACAUAAAUAUCUUCAUAAAUAGUCCAUCACCUGAGAAUCUGUAUCUCUCAAUGAGGUAGUCAUCUCCAACGGCCAAUGGGUCUGACCUGUCCCGGAAGACUCUUUCAUGACUAAAUGCUCGUCUGAGGAUUAGGUCUUCCUCAUCCAGUACAUCCUUCAAGAAAGGGCAAGCCAUUAUGAAGAGGGAACAGGUGUGAAUAAUAUAUAUAUAUAUAUAUAUAUAUAUAUAUAUAUAUAUUAUGGCGUGCCGCUUAGGAAAUUAAUCUUUGAAUAUAUGGAAUCAAGCUUUGAAUAUAUGGAAUGAAGCUUGGAUAUACUGAUAAAAAUGUGAGAAUACUGAAUGAAAUUCAAAACCUAGUUGUAUCCUUUUCAUCAAAGUGAUGAAAAGCCUUCUGAAUUAGCUGGUUUUACAAAAUGGCAUCAGUUGAAAUAUUACAAUGCUUUCUUGAACUGGAAAACUUUUUUGCUUUUUCUGUCAGGAUUUUGCCUGAGGCCUGUUGUAGUCGGCCUGCCACAAUUAAAAAGAACUUCUUCGUCAGGAGAACGGUAUUGGGCACGGGUACUAUGGGAAGGAUUUUGGCCCGUACAAGCACUUGCCAAUGAGUUAAUAAUGUCCUCAUUGCUCAGUAUUGCUGCCACAAGGUUCCUGACUGACUCAUUCUCACUUCUACAAGAUGGCAGCAGUGCCUUGAUGACCAGUCAAGUUUCAUUCCAUAUAUUCAAAGAUUCAUUCUAUAUAUUCAAAGAUUAAUUUCCUAAACGACAUGCCAUAAUAUAUAUACUAUAUUGCCCUUGUCACAGAUUUCAUUGAAAACACCUUUGCAACUUCAUCAGCUGUGUUUUGUAAUCUCAAUUACUGCAAUAAAACACAUAUUUAUGCGGUUUGACAAGCAGUCUUCAUUAGCAUAGCAAUAUAACACUUGUCCUGAGUAAUAAUACUACCACUUGAAUCAAUAUAAAAAGACUGUUGCAAUUACAAACAGCCAACAGAUUUAAAUGAAAUAAGAAAUGACAAUAUAUAUGUAAUAUUUUAAUGCAGGAUAACUAAAAUGAUGCAACAUACUUAGAAAGACCAUGGACAUGCUGUAAAACAAUUAAUUAAUUGCUCACAGGAUUGACGGUGGAAAUACAGGUGAAUCACUAGGAUUAAUCUUAGCCUGGCUGUUAGUCUGGUCUGCAGCAGGCUAGCUGCAGAGAAUAAAUCACUAUAGUAACUUGGCCGGGAUAAGUUUAACCUGCUUUCAUGCAACCGACUUGAGGCUAAAUUAAGCCAGGAUAACCAACAUAUCCCGGCUUAAUCCCUUAUCUUGGUUUUGUGCAAUACCCCUCAGGUGAGGAGACAAUAACAACAACAACAACAACAACAACAACAACAACAGAACUAACAACAACUGAAAACAGCAUAAAAUCAGGAACCAAAACGACAGUGUCUUCAAUCAAUGAUACUUCAACACAACUAAAAGGUAGUGACCCAACAUUCUCUCUCUCUCUCUCUCUCUCUCUCUCUCUCUCUCUCUCUCUCUCUCUCUCUCUCUCUUUGUUAAGAUGUAAAAACAUCACAGUCUCUCAGUUUCACCUCAGUGAAUUUUCCGACUUCUCAUUUAUUUAUACAUCAAACUACAAAUUACUGAAGUGUGAAUUGAAUUAUGGUGGAUUUAAAGCUUUAAUAUUACAUCACAAGACAAGUUUUGUACUGAACAGUUUGUUGAGUUGUGUUCAUCUGUUCAGGUGAGGACACAAUAACAACAACAACUGAAAACAGCAUACUAACGGGUACCCACACGACAGCGUCUACAAUCAAUGAUACUUCAACAGAAUUAAAAGGUAUUAACUCAAUUGCAAAACAUCUCAAUGUAACACAGACCAUUUGUGGUACAGUGAGAACAUGGCUUCCUGCCGUCUGGUGCUGUAUUUUUGGACCCAGCAGCCUACAUAAAUAUCUUAGUCCAUCACCUGAGAAUCUGUAUCUCUCAAUGAGAUAGUCAUCUCCAACAGCCAAUGGGUCUGACCUGUCCCGGAAGACUCUUUCAUGACUAAAUGCUCGUCUGAGGAUUAGGGCUUCCUCAUCCAGUACAUCCUUCAAGAAAGGGCAAGCCAUUAUGAAGAGGGAACAGGUGUGAAUAAUAUAUAUAUAUAUUUAUAUAUAUAUAUAUAUAUUAUGGCGUGCCGUUUAGGAAAUUAAUCUUUGUAUAUAUGGAAUGAAGCUUUGAAUAUAUGGAAUGAAGCUUGG
Molecule: long non-coding RNA, 3331 nt
Organism: Dicentrarchus labrax (European seabass)
Lineage: Eukaryota; Metazoa; Chordata; Actinopteri; Moronidae
Source: Ensembl